This 7135-nucleotide long non-coding RNA is filed under the name Lactuca sativa (garden lettuce). RNAcentral describes it as "long non-coding RNA (LSAT_LNC005155)". The record is from RNAcentral. Lineage: Eukaryota; Viridiplantae; Streptophyta; Magnoliopsida; Asterales; Asteraceae.
UAUUAUACAUGCAAAUAUGAAUAUCCAAGGUAUUAUCCUAACUAGCAUACCAAAAUAUUGAUACAUAGUAAUGUAACAAGUUAGAAUACAUACCUCUUUGUUGUAAUCUUGUCUUCAUGAAGCUUGAGUGCCUAGUGCCCCAAGUGUGACACCUCAAAUGGUUCACACAAAACCAUAAACACUUGGAAUAACCUUGAGAAUAAGGAUACUUUGGUUCUCUCUAGUGAAAUCGGCCUUUCCCUUUUUUGUACACACUCUAGUGCAAAUUUCACCAACCAAGGACAUCUUUAUAUAAUGUGGUGAUUAGGGUUAAACCCAUGGCCCUUCAUUUCAUAUGAUCCAUGGGUUAAACACUCCAUGGACUAUCCAUGAAAGCUUAGCCCAACCUAAAUGAACUUGGCCCAUCACACAUAUAUAUCUAAGAGUCCAUAUUUAAUUAGUUCCUUUUUGAUCACUUAAUUAAUUAUAAAUAAAUUCUUGAUCAAUACUAAUUAAAUAAUAUGAUUAUAUAUUAAUAUAUUAGAACUUAUAAUAUAUUAGUAUAAAUCACUAGUAUCCUUUUUCCUCAUCUUGUCUAUCCAGUUGUCCUGAUGCCAUGCAACCCAAAUGGACCAUGUCGGGUCGGGUCAAGUCUUACCAAUUAUAGUUAUGGACUUAGACAUUGAUCCAAAAUUCUCCCACUUGGAUAAGUCUAAAACUAUUAUUGAUUAUGACUUCAAACCGCGACUAGAAAUCAUAGCUCUCAAAAGCUUCUUUCGAUCUCUGACCUUGCCGAUGAACUCUGACCUUUGUCAAUGACUUGUCCAUUAGAUAAGGGAUCAUAUAUUCCUCUAUUCUAGAUAUCAUAUGGACUGAGACAUGGAUUAUAAUCAUUCUCUCUAUCCAUUUGUUGUUUCCCGAUUUCCGAUUUAUGAUGACUGACUAAUUGAACAAAUCAAAUCAGUCCUGGCCCGGCCGAGCACUUCCAUUUGUCAUCAUCAAAUCAUCGAGGGGCCCACAGAUAUCGCUUUUAUCCCGAAGGUAAAAGGAAUGGAUAAACUUCGACUCAUAUGGCUUGUUCUACUACUUGUUGAAUCAUACACAAAGGCACGUUUUAUAGCACCGAGUUACCAAAUGCGUUUUCGUGCAAUCAAUGUACAACCAACUCAUAGUAACAACUCAUAUCUCUAGGUUUGAAUAAUAUAAGAUAUUAUCGUCUCAUGAUCACUCGUGAUAAAAUCCAUGAAGUGAUUCAAAUAAGCGCGGGUUGAAUCCAAUACUCAUAACUUAUGGGCACUCAUGAGUGUUGUAGCACAACUUUGUCCACCAACUUGGACCUCUACAAGCAAACCCAUGACAGUCUUGAUUCAUAUCUACUGCCAACAUUUGACCGACUGUGGAUGGUUUGAAUAACUUAGUCAUUCGGAAGAAUAAUAGAGUUUAUUCUGGAAGUCAAAACAUGCAAAAUGAAACACAAGAAUAACUGAAUCUAAUAUGGUAUUAAAACCUAUGAAUAUAAAUAAAACACCUUUUAUUUAUCACCAUACUGAUUACUCAUUAUUCAUUGUUUCGGUUUUAUCAACAUUAUACUUGAAUUAAAAACACUAGUUGUCCCAUGCUCCAAGCAUGUACACUAUGUUUUUUCUAAACAAUAGCUUUGCCAUACACCAAGUAUGCACUCUAUGUUCGUCUAUGAUGCUUACUUUUUUCAAUAAACCAAUUGACCAAACUUUCAAUGAUUCUAAUUUCACACUCCCGAAUUCUUAUGGAAAAUGUAGGAAUUGCAAAUUCAUCCCAUUUUACCGAAAUCUAUUAGAUUCUAAACUUAUAUGCAAUGAUUCUCUUGUAAUGAUUAUGAACAAAGUCACAAAGACUUGACAACAAAUAUUACAGAGCAUUCCAAAGGAGAUCAACUCCUUGGAAACAUCCUUCUUGCAUUAAGUUUCCUAAUCUUACACAGAUUUAUUGAACAACUUCCGCCAAUGGGGCCAUUUCCACAUUCCCCUUUUGACUAUCACUUCCGAACAAGAGUUGCCUCUUUUCAGAAUAUGUCAAUAUGGUCCUUCCAACAAUUAACACUAUACUUCCAACUGUCCUUGAGCAACCAAUCUUUGGUAAACCUUAGAUUGUCCUCGACAAUUGCUUAAUCGUUUGUCAUAUCCAGUUCUAGACCUUUUCCCUUCUUAAUGCCCCAGGCAUUUGGAAAAUUUUAGAAAGGAUGAAUAUAUCAAAUGUAAUCGAUCCUAUAUCCGAAGCAUAUCGGACACGAUUCAUGAUGACUCACAUAAAGACUAAACCAGUCUUUUGCUAUAAUAUUUCCAUUUCAAUUUGCCAAGUUCUCAUAAUUCAGAUUAUGAAAAGGGAUGUCGUAAUCAUAAUCGAAUUUUAGAAUGCAAAUAAUGAACCCUUAUGAAAUUCAUAUAUAUUCUUGACAAAAUUUGAUUAAAAUCUCAAUCUAAGUUUUUAGAAUUGAAAUCAAGUAUAAUUUCCUCUCCCUUAAUUAUAGCAAAACAACUUUUUCAACCCCUGCAGCCUCAAGAAUUGAAACUUUUGUUUUCUAUAAUUAACAUUGCUAACUUGCAAUACUAAUCAUAAUUAUCAUGCUCCCACUAACAUGAUGAUUAUUAGCAUAACACUUAUGCUCCCACUAGCUUCGACAUGUACUUAGAAACCAGCUGGGCUUCUAGAAAUCAAUACUUUAUUGACUUUCUUACCAAAGUUCAGAUUUUUGAUACUAGAUUGAUUUGAUAAGGCUUGAUCAAAAUUAUACACCUUAUCUUAGAUAGCUCACAGGUGUGUCUAAACAUUUUCAGAACUAUGAAAAGGGAUGUCGUAAUCAUAGUCUCAAUUGUUUAGACCUUUUGCCAUUUCUCAUAAGUCAAUGUUAGUGUGCCGGUUAACCACACAAGCUCCACUAACGAGUUUGAGAAUGAAAAUAACACAAUUGCUGUCUAGUUAAAAUCUACUUAGUGAAAGUGUUUCCUCACCAUCAUUUUCAUGAAUCGGAGAGAAACCUUAUGACACUUAGAUUUAAUGGUGUAUGUGUUCUUAUCCAUGUGAAUUGUCAAAACCAUAGUCACAAGACAAGGAUAAUGACAAAUCCAAACUCAUAUGGACUGAACUCAAUCUUAAUUUAUUGCCAUCUGGCAGCUCAAGGGCCUUCCAUUGAUUCCAUGUUGUUAUGAAACCAAUUGAGAACUCUAUGAACUCAUAUGCAAACCCAACUUUAACUGGAAUGGACACAGAAUAUGUCAACACGAUAGGUUAUAAACCUCAAUUCGUGUGCUAGUGUAGAACUUCAGGUUUUAUUCUUCAUUAGUUCUUGAUACUUUCAAGACCUUUAAGACUCCCAGUGUCCUCUUGACAUAUAAGACUCCCUUGUCAAACAUCCAAGAGAUAGUGUAGAUUCUUUAUCAAGACAAGCACAUAAUUGGCCUAUGUUGGUCUUUGUUUUAUCCAAAACAUCACAACUUACCAAUUUCAAAUGUACAAGAGUAGAAAACUUUUACUCUUACAUUUGACAAGUGUUUUAAACCUUCUUUAAGACAUGUCACUCAAAUGACAAUCUUGGAGUAUGACUCUAAGACUUGUAUUGGAACGAAGUAUGACUCAUCUUCUUGAUUUAACCAUUUCAACAAUUCAAGUUCCUCUUCUUAGUCAUAAGAAUGCACUAAGAUUUCCUUAGAGAACUAAUUUUGAUAUGGUUUCUUAAUCAUUAAGAUGAUCACAAAACUGAUACUAAAGUACUCUCCCAUCUUUUCAGAUUUGAGAAACUUUUAUCCUUCUGCCUAAUUUGAUUCUUCUUAUUCGCUCUGCCAUACAUUGGAACCUUUUCCAAUGUCUCAGAGUUACACUUAAGCUUGUAAGUAUAAUCAUAUUUACUGAGNAACAAGGAACUAGUCUUAAUUUUCCAAAGAUGAAAAAUUCUCAUUCAUCAUGCUAUACAACUUGCAUGAUUCCAACUUUCGGUCCAAUUGAAACUUGGGUGAUGAGGAUCUUUCCUUAUUUGGUAAAUUUAGACAUUACCACAAAUGAAAGAAUCAAUUUCAUAUUUCCACUCUUGCUAUUAAUGGAAUCAUAUAAGCAACAAUUUUUUCCUCAAAUACCAUUGUAAGGAUAUUUUAAAAUAAAUAAAAUCAUCAUUUUUCCUUUUAUUUUAAAACUUUACGGAAAAACUAUCCUUACAAUGCAAAAGAGCAUUAAAGCUUUGUUGUUAUCUAUUCCUAAGCAAUAUAUCAUAACUCCUAAGAAGUAGCUCAAGAAUUCGAUCCUCAAACUAUGCGAUAGAAAUCCAUCUACGCGAUCAAAUUCAACAUACUCUUUCUUUAAGUUUCUUCACUUUUCUUUGAUUCGUACAAAAUCAACAUGUGACCCAGUCACAUCAUGUAACAUGAAUAUCAUAAUAGAAACUUAACAGAGUUAGAUGGUGGACUUUACCUGAAGUAGAUUCAAUCUUAUUGACUUGAUCAACCUUUUGAUCUUUCAGGUAAAUAUGGCAGCUUCACAACCAAUUCCCUUUCCUUUUGGCAAUAGAACUAUAUAGACCCUUUGGGAAUGGUACAUGAGACAAUCUCAGACUUAGCCUUUCUCUUUACCAUUUGGUCAACCGCGUUGACCAUGACCAAUCCCUUUCAAUUGGGAAGAGAAAGCUUUUACUAGAUAUCCAAUGCAACCAUUGUCAAUGUCCAUUGAAGGUUUGGGAAGUUGAUCUACUAAUCAAAUUUGCUUUACCAAAGCUCCAAAUCAUUGCUGAUUCAGCAGUGCCAAGAAAAUAGAUAAGAUCAUUAAGGGUCAUCUCAUAGUCUAUUUCAUAGUAGUCCCAAAGGUAACUCACUAUGUGACUUAGAAAGUGAAUGAACAUCCAACUUUCUUAAGACUUUGACACCCAACUCUCCCAGCUUGUCAAUAUGUGACUUCAUCUCCAAGAUAUGAGCACACAUAGACCUUGCCUGCCAUAAGGGCUUGAUUGACUUUGAACUUGUGGGUUAGGGAGAAUAAUUGGAGAAGGUGGAGGAAGUGAAGUUCCAAGAGAUUUGGGAAGAUCAUAGAUGUCUGAACUAGACAUCUUUUGGGAGAUAUUAUGGAUAGUUGAUUAAAAGUCCUUAAUAUAACACCCAAUAUGAGAUAUUAAGGAUAGGACCCUACAAACUAUUUUAUAACUCGGAAGAGGGACGCCGUAAUCCAAGCUAUAGAAUAUUUGAAGGUUGGUGAAUGACAAUUCACCAAUUUCCACCAUGAAAAAACCAAAUAAACUUAUUAGGUUUUUUAAUUGGAUUUGGAACUCCUAGAUCUUUUGAGAUUCAUUGAAUUGUUCAAUGGCAUGUUUCAAUCUCGAGUGUGCCCUUCCAGUUUUGUGACUGGCAUGCCGAGGAUCAUAAAACAAGGUGUGAAUAGCCAUGCAAAUAUACUUGGUACCCUUAAUUUUUUACCCCUCAAUCGAUGUGCCGGUUAACCACACACGCUCAAUCGAUAUUAUGAUAAACAUUAAGUUACCCUUUUGCUACCUUCUUAAAUACGAGUUAGUGUGCCGAUUAACCAUACAGCUCCACUAACCGACUUAAACAAAGUGCAAAGUGUAAUUUCAUAGACUAGCAUCAAAUUCACAUUUUCCUAAGUAACUAAGAUUGGGUAUUACUAAGAGUUUAGUUACUUAGUAUUUAUCAUUAAUACUUUUGAUGUAGGGAGAAUUAUAGACCUUGUCCUACCCGUUCGGCUAACGACCCUCCACCAGUCACGGAAGCGGUGGGUGAGAGUGGACACCCAUUAAGUUGCCAUUUUAUAGGCAACAACCUUAUACCCACCUUAUAGACCGGCUUCGUGAAUGAGGCGUACUAGCGGUAAGACUGACUUUACUCUUAUACAUAUAUAUAUUAUUAACUUAUAAUAUUAUAAAGUAUAAGGGUUGAAUUUUAACUUUUAAAAUUCUAAGGGCUAACUUGGAAUUAAAGUAUUCAUAAGUGAAAACUUUUCAAAUUCCAAAACUUGAGGGCAAGUUUUGAAACUAUUCAAAACUAAUUAAUUCCAUAACUUAUGUGUUUAAAGUAGUUUUAAUUAAAAAACUCCUCAAGUUCCAUAACUUGAGGACAAGUUAUGGAAGACUUUAAACUAAUAAAAGAAUGUAACUUUUCUUUAUUUUGUAACUUAUGGAAUUAAUUAAGGUUACACAUUUUAUUACUUAAUGAAGUGACUCUUGAACCUCCAUAACUUGAGGACAAGACACUUCAUUUUUUAUAACCAUUGUCAACUUUUAUGAGUUUUAUGAAACUUAAAUGUGACCUUUCAUGUAACUUGAGGAGAAGUUACACAAACAUAUUUUAGAAUCUAUUCUUAGAUUAAAAUGGAUUAAAGAAACAUAAUCAAUCAACUUUUCAACUAAUCUAAGCAACUCAUAAGAUCAAGAUAAUUAAAAAAAAAAAAACUUUUGGAUUCCAUAACUUAUGGAGUUUAAUGUUUUUUUAAUGAUGAAACUUUUCAUGUUUCAUAACUUAAGAACAAGUUAUGAAAUUCUUUAAAACAUUAACACCAAUUUUUGUAACUCCAUAAAAAAAAACUUUGAAUCAAUUUUUUUUAAACCUUUUUCAUAUCCAUAAGUUAUGGAGGUUUUAAAAAAACACUCUUUAGAUCACACUUUUAAAACUAAUAAAAUAAUCAUAUCAUUUUAUCUUUUACUAAAUUUGACCUAAUUCAACUCAUAUAGCAAACGAUUCAAAUUUUACAAAUAAUUAGUUUUUCACAAAAAACAAGUAAUUAUCUUAAAAUUUGACAAACGUCAUGUUUUUUUCUUUUUUUUUCAACUUUGAAAAUAGUACAUUUGCAUCAAUAUAACAUAAAACAACCCAUGGCUCUGAUACCACUAUUGGGUUUUGAGCAUUCUAAUGCUCCUAAGUGUACAUGCAACCCUAAAUACCUUGGAUCUAUGUUUUCUCUAUUAUACAUGCAAAUAUGAAUAUCCAAUGUAUUAUCCUAACUAGCAUACCAAAAUAUUGAUACAUAGUAAUGUAACAAGUUAGAAUACAUACCUCUUUGUUGUAAUCUUGUCUUCAUGAAGCUUGAGUGCCUAGUGCCCCAAGUGUGACACCUCAAAUGGUUCACACAACACCAUCAACACUUGGAAUAACCUUGAGAAUAAGGAUACUUUGGUUCUCUCUAGUGAAAU